GUGUAUUCUGGAUCGAGCUCAGGGGCGACCAAGAAGGGUCAAACCCUAAUCAACACAAUUUCAUCAAAUUGAAGGGGCAAAUCAAGUCCAAAUCAAAAUCCGAGUAUGAAUUAGUGAUCUCCAUUGAAAAAGGAGUCAUGAGUUUGACUCUGACAAGCUAGGUAGGAGCUUGGAAAUGAACGGGUCAAAUGGAUAGAAUUCAAGUAUGAAGCUCGCAAGGAUGCAAGGUAAGUAUAACUUACACUAGUCAUAUAUUUUAGAAUGUUCUUUUGUCGUAUUACUACGAAUAAGACAAAUGGUAAUUUAGUCACACGUUGACAAUAAUCGUUAGUUUUAAAAGACGCUUUCCCGCGUAAGACAUAAAGAGCCGAAAGUGGUAAUAAACGGUUUAUAAAUAAAAUGAGCAUACGGUGUUAAAAGGAGCGAGUCAUGUAGAUGAGAUGAUAAUAAAUAUUAUCUCGCAAAGAUAAACGGUCAAUUCGGCCAAACGGGUCAAAAAGUGUAGACAUCACCUUUUGACUAUAUAGACUAAUGAUUCUUUUGUCGAGUCAUAUGCUUACAGGAAUAGAUAUCCAAUGGAUAUUCGCAUCGUUCUUAAUUAGCGAAUAUAAAGCAAGGUAUUAAAAUCGGGUCUAUUUGUUGAUCCGAGCCAGGUACGCUUAUUUAUGAUGUAUGUAAAAGUGCUAAUUUGGUCGAAUAAUUGGUGAUAGCCCUUCAUUGUAAAAGAAGGACCAAAAUCGACCAAAACACCCUUGUAGGCUAAAUUGAACAAACAACUCUUAGAGGUUGUUUGGAAAGGAGUCUUAUGAUUAAACAAAAGUUUAGAACGAGUACGGGUAGGGAAAGAUGUAAUUCUUGGGCCAAAAGACUCCAUAUGAGUCUUUGCCGUAAAAUGAUAUUUCAAGAGGUAUAAAUUCGGAACACAUAGAUAUCUACUUUAAAUCCAACACACAUUUAGUUGUGAUGGAAGAGUACUAGAUAAGAGCUAUAGGUUACAACGCUGGAUUAGAAUGAAAGCGAAAUUGAGCUUAAAAGUGCUUAAAAUAUCCUUAACGGGUCAAAAUAAGCAUACUAGUGAAAACGGGUUUAAUUUGUGAAUAAACCUAUGAUUAGAACCUAAUAUGGUAUAUCACAAUGAGUUGAUGAAGUGUAUGAAAUAUAGGAAUCAAAUAAAUACGUUUGUUUGAUAAAACGCAUAACCGGGUCAAAAUUUGGUAUAAAGGGUAAUAAGCCGAAGACUUAGAAGUCUUAAAUUUUGUUAAGCCGAAUGUCGGAUUUUAACUCCAAAUGAUGGAGAAGCGAAUUACAAACAUGUAGGAAGAAACGGUAGGCCAAACGGACAAGCAGUUUGAAAGAUACGGAAGAUUUCGUGUCAAAUUACGGCAAAAAUGGAAAACUGGAUGCAGGGUCCACCGUAAAUUACGGUGCCACCGUAAUUUACGGUGGAGAUGAAAAGCCUUACGGUGGCCCCCUACUGGUUUACGGUAGGGGUAUGUAAAACCAGUGGCCACCGUAAAUUACGGUGCCACCGUAAUUUACGGUGGAGGUCAGGUUGAAAUUUUUGUUUUUGUUAUCAAUUGUUUCUCGGACUCGUUUAGACACGUUUUAAGUCCUGUAUGACUAAAGCAUUUCAUGUUUAUGAAAUGUAGGUACACCUUGGAUGCCGGAAGACGAUCAAGCUCAACGAAGGACCGAACACGAUAUAGAUACACGCUUCGGCACAUUGCCACGUUGUAAAUUUUAACAACGAACUCAAUUACGUUUGUUGGAUAACUUAUGAUUUGUAAAAGAUUUAAUAAACCCGCAUUUUGUACAGUAUGUGUGGUCUUAACUACACAUCUAAUUGUGGUAUUUUCAUGUAAAAUUGUAAUUUAGUAACUUGGGUGUUACAAGUUGGUAAUCAGAGCUCAUGGUUAAAGAGUAAGGUGUGUUCGGUUCGAGGCUUGAUCGCAAAUCCGGUAAGUGCAUGUAUGCUAAUGGUCUAGCGUAUUAAAGUGUUGUAGACAACACAUAGGGUUACCGUGUAAAACACGUUACCCCAAUUAAAUGAUUGAUAUAGUUGACAAAAAUACGCGCGUUGACGUGUAUAGUAGAAAAAGCCUUGUACUAUAAUACAGGCGAUUAUUGAAGUUGAUAUUACUAACUUUCGUGAAUAUCUUGAUUGAUGGACACUUGCAUUUAAAGAUGACAAGAGUUGAACAAAUUAAGGAUAUGAUAGAGGAACGGUCCGAAGUAUGACGAUAGGAGCAUGCUCACUAAGGACUAAAUCGCGUAACGACCGCGAACAAGGUUAAUGGCAAGAAACGCCCGUCGGGGCAAGCAUUACCAGGUGCGUGUUUUUAAAUAUAAUCGCACAAAUAGCAAUAUGCAACAAACGAGUAGAAAUUGAAAGUUGCAUAUGUAGAUUAAAAACUUGGAAAAACCCGAAUAGAAAAUGUAUUCGGGAUAUUGUUUCCAAGAGAAACAAAUAGAGGCGUUACUUACAUAGGGCGUGAUGUGAAAACUAUAAAUAGGUCAUGUGUGUCAUAUGUUAAUCGCUUACUCUGGCCAAGUAAGUAGUGGCUUAUGAUACCAUGAACUUCUUAUGGCGGACACGUUUACAUCCGAUGUAGUAAGGGCAGGGUGAAUGGGACUAAUUAAAAAGUACCCAAAUGAAUCAGAUAAGCAAAAUAUUUGAUAAUAAUGUAAAUGCACAACCAAGUGACGGGAGCGUAUUACAUUAGGAUAAUGAGCCCGGGUGAAGGGACAAACAAGCAUGUAAAAUGAUUUAGACAAGUAUUGGGAGGGAGUGUACUUACACUCGAACCCAGAAAACACAAGCAUGUAAAAUGAUUUAGACGAGUAUUGGGAAGGAGUGUACUUACACUCGAACCCAGAAAACACAAGCAUGUAAAAUGAUUUAGACGAGUAUUGGGAAGGAGUGUACAUACACUCGAACCCAUAAAACACAAGCAUGUAAAAUGAUUUAGACAAGUAUUGGGAGGGAGUGUACUUACACUCGAACCCAGAAAACACAAGCAUGUAAAAUGAUUUAGACAAGUAUUGGGAGGGAGUGUACUUACACUCGAACCCAGAAAACGCAAACAUGAAAAAUGAUUUAGACAAGCAAUGGGAGGGCGUGUACUUGCACUCGAACCCGGAAAAUGCAAAUAUGUCCCUUAACGGGUCAUUUUUGUAAAACGUCGAACUUAAAGACAAAGUCAGAAUAUAAAAAUGAAGCGAGGUCUUAAUGCAUACCGGGAGGAUUGCAAUAAUAACGACUUUGGUAAAACACCCGGUUGAUGGGUAAGAAUUAAACACAUGCGUAAACCGAGAAACGAGAACAUGAAUUUAAAGUCAAAAGACUCGGAUUAUGAGUUAUGACUAAAAGACCAUAAAAAUUUCGUAAACAGAAAUUCUGAUCAUUAUAUUCAACUAUUUUGAGAUUGAACGGGUUGAAUAAAGUAUAAUGCUUGAAGGCGUAAGUAAGCGCAAGCCGGAUAACGGUAAGCUUGAGACAAAUGAGUUUCAAACGUAAAAAGAGUGCUUUGACACCAAAUAUAUAUUUUAAUAAGACACGAGUAAAAAGAGUGAUCUACGGGAUCAACAUAACCUUUAGGGUUAUAAACAAAUGAGAGAUAUACGGACUAAAACGACCCACGGGUCAUGAUUAGAAAGAAGUUACAAGGACUUCGCCUUAAAGAGGUGAAUGUCUAAUCAAAAAUAGCCCAUAAGGCUAAGUGAUAAAACCUACGGGUUAGAUGGAAUAAAGCGAGGAAAUCAGUUAAGAAUCCCCGCAUAAAAACUAAGACUGUAAAGGAUUAAAUUACGGACUGUCAAUAUCCCAGUAUAGUGUAACACCCCGAAAAUAUAAAACUUAUUGUUAAAAAUUAUAAAUUAUUAAUAAACGGGAGUUUACUAACUAGAAACUUUUAACCUAGUUAGUUGAUAGACUAGAAAUAACCCAUGAAAGGUUAAAACCUACUAAAUAAUGAGUAGAGCAAAAUUGAGGGGCUGGAAUUGUCAAAAAUUAAAACUAAAUAACAAUUAGUAACCAAACACUCUAAAUUUUGGAGUGUUGGUCGAUCAAGAAAGCAGAAGGGGGCGACACCCCCAUUCCAAAACCCUAAACUCACUAAAACAUCAAAUUGAAGGCUCAAUUCUGAUCAAAAACAAAAUCUAAACAUAGAUUAGUGAUCCUCAUCACGAGAGGAUUCCAAGGUAUGUAAAAACUUGUGUUAAUUCUUUGCUUGAAAUUCUCAUGAUAUUGUGAAAUCUGGAAAUUUGAUGUUGCAUGAGUGUUAUUUGGUUAGUUUAGAAUCUAUUUGGUGUUUAGAGGUUAGACUCAACCAAUUACAAGUGAAAUCAUGACCCAAUUUGGAAAACUCCAUGAACACCUUGAAGGUGGGUUGUGGGUUUUACAAGAUGAUGAUGAUUUUUAGGGUUCUUAGUAGUUAUACUAGUAAAAAUUCGACUUUAGAAGAUAGUUCCAGAAAAGAUGUGAUGUUACAUGAUAUAUGAUGGCUUAAUUGAAGUUAAGUCAACCACUAAGCAAUCCACAAACAUGAAGAUGAAUAAUAUAGAAAUUAUGCCCUUUAGAUGUUUGUGGAAAUGCCUCAAAGAAGGUUGACAAAUAGAAAUUUGAAGCUUAGACGCUUAAUUAAGAUGUUUCGGUAUAUUAUGCUAAAUGAUGUCUAAGAGGGUUCUAAACAUGUCUUGUAAAUGAACUCCAUAGGACAAGAUACCGGGACAUCGAGCGGACAAGCCGGUGGUGAUUCUCGAUUGAAGGGUGUACGCCAAGGUAUGUAACAUGUCUCGUUACAUUAUGUAAAUUUUAGAUCGUUGUAGUUGUUUAUCAAAGUUUCUAGUUAAAUUGGAUUGGAGCGAAGGCGUUGUCGUAUUUGAAUACUAGUAUGAAUAACGAAUUUAGCUCGUUGGUAGUUGCCACGAAGGAAGGAAAUUCCGUAGGCAAGCCAAACGGGUCAAACAAUCAAGUAAACAUGAUCUAUAUUCCGAACAUGAUAAAUUGAUGUAUGUAGUGGCUAUAGUAUGAUGUGCUAGAAAUAUUAGACCUUUACUACAUUGAUAAUGCAGAAUGUUGAAACCCGAAAGUUGGAAUUUUGGUUGAAAUGCUCAAACCAAACAAAAGCAUGAAUUCCCAGGUGCUACCGUAAAUUACGGUGUCACCGUAAUUUACGGUAGAGGGUUUUGAUUUACGGUGGUUUUCUCCUGUGUUACGGUGUAACCAGGAAUUUCCAGCACUCACCGUAAUUUACGGUGGUACCGUAAAUUACGGUGGAGCCUGGAACACUUUUAUAUUCUUAUUCUUUUUAAUGGGGUGUUAAGUCUUAAAACCUUAUCAUUCUUAAACAUCAAGAACUAACGAUCUAAUUGUUGAUUCUUAGGUAAUUAGAAGUCAUGGAUGGCGAUCAAGCGACAAGAUGAAUGAACCGAACACUCCACUUCGAAGCUUCCGCUAUGUUAAACUUGUUAAACAGUGUAUCUUUUGUUGUAAUCAAAGUCUUAAACAACAAUAUUACGUUCUACUUUUGUUCUUAGUAGGCUAACUAGUAAAAGUUUUGAAACUUAUGAAAUUUUU
This 5578-nucleotide long non-coding RNA is filed under the name Helianthus annuus (common sunflower). Its description in RNAcentral is "hypothetical non coding rna". Lineage: Eukaryota; Viridiplantae; Streptophyta; Magnoliopsida; Asterales; Asteraceae. The record is from RNAcentral.